AAUUUCAGGGUUUCAUAUAUCAAAGAGAUGAAAAAUUGGGGGAGGCGACCAUAAACCCCCGAAACCACACAAAACCCUAAUUCCGCCGCUGGGGUCGACAUAUCCUCUUGCUCCUUUCUGCUAUGAGUGCCACCACCGCCGAAAGUCGACGGGAGAGCUAACGGCUUGUGGUGUGGCACCAUGUGGAGAUACCCAGUUGGGUUCGGUAGUAAGGAGAGAAAUUCCCAAGGUGGGGUAAUAGCAAUGGUUCUCCGAUUUCGAGUCUGACGCCUACGACGGGUUUGAGGUUGUCGGUUUCUUUGCAGUGGAAGUUGCGAUAGCAGUUACAAGCGGCGCACUUAAGAGCGUCGAAUGUGCCGUCAGCACCAACGACGAGAAAUUCGCCUCAAUCGUCAAGGUCGUAACCUCCAAAUCGCUUAGGUGGUUGUUAUUUUAGAAUAAUAUUAUUAUAUUUAUGAUUUUUCAUUAUGAAGGAGUUUAUGUUUCGUCCAAUUGAGAACAAAUUCAUAUUUCCAUAUCCUUUCUUCAUUCUCUUAAAUUUAUCAUUAAGUUGGUCAUUUCGUAUUAGUUAAAAUGUGCUUGAAUUUGUGCAUACCUUCCUGGUUUUGGAAUUGAACACUCAGGGCAUGGCUUUGCUAGAUUGGCAUAGAACGUCACAUUUCUAUGGACAUUGUGGAGAAAGGACAGUCCCAAUGGAUGCUAGAAAAAGAAGGGAAUACUCCAAUUAGUCAUGUAAAUUGAGAAUUUUUCCUCGUGUCGAUCCUGUGAGAUCAUCGUCCUUUGCUUUUUUGAUUGUUGAAUCCCUGCAUAGUGAAAGCUAUAUAUUAAUGUCUCCGGCUCUUAAGCUUGUCAAUUGCAGGUCAUCAACCAGGAGAAUGACCAUGCACUCUUAAGCAGGCAAUCGAGAUAUGUGCUUGAAAAUGUAGUUGCUUAGUUGUUUUUAUGGAGCCUGGAGAAAAUUUGGAAGAAGUUGUGAUGUGAGAAACAUUGGAGGAGGCUGGUAUUGAAGUUGGAGAGGUGGUCUAUCACAAUUCUCAGCCAUGGCCAGUAGUUGGAAGAUCAAAUUCAAAACACGUCAAGAUCUGAGUAUGGUAGUUACUCCAAGAAUAAAAUCCGAAAGAAGCAAAAUUCAAAUAUUUGGGUCACAGAGAAAGAAGUUGUUAGUGCAUCAACCACACACGGGGAAGCUCGUACUCGCAACUUGAAUUGGAUGAAGUACGCGUGGAAUAUGGGCUAAAUAUUUAGGACGAUAUAUCUGAUGGACUUCUUAUAAAUUUUGUGUAUAGUCAUAUGGAAAUGCCCAAAACUUUUUUUGUAUAAAUGUUUUUUUUAGCUAUUAUAGGUUAUAUACUUAAAAAAAAUGUGUGGUGGAGGAUAGAAUUUUAGUCUUGUGAUUUUUGGAAUAUAUAACACAUAUAGAUUGGUCUUACAAUUGUGGAAUUAUCAUUUAUUGGGGUGGGUUGAUAGAGUAUAUACUAUUGUAUGAUUGGUUUUGUAAAUUUUGGAAUCCUUCAUAUACAUGGAAGGUAAUAGAAGAAUGGAAUUGUUUAUUUUAGUAUUGUGAA
This is a non-coding RNA of Benincasa hispida (wax gourd), 1565 nucleotides long. The record is from RefSeq and is a predicted model, not a curated record. NCBI's taxonomy places the organism in Eukaryota, Viridiplantae, Streptophyta, Magnoliopsida, Cucurbitales, Cucurbitaceae.